AGAGUUUUAUUCUGGCUCAGAACGAACGCUGGCAGCGUGGAUUAGGCAUGCAAGUCGAACGCAAAUCUUCCGGUUCAAUCUUUCGGGAAAGAACUGGGGGAGGAGAGUGGCGAAAGGGUGAGGAACACGUGGGUAACCUGCCCCUAAGUUCGGGAUAACCUUGCGAAAGCGGGGCUAAUACCGGAUGUGAUGGUCCGUCUCACGACGGAUUGAUUAAAGGUGGACUCCUUUGGAUCUGCCGCUUAGAGAGGGGCCCGCGUCCUAUCAGCUUGUUGGUGAGGUAACGGCUCACCAAGGCUUACGGGUAGCUGGUCUGAGAGGAUGGUCAGCCACACUGGGACUGAGACACUGCCCAGACUCCUACGGGAGGCUGCAGUCGAGGAUCAUUCGCAAUGCGCGAAAGCGUGACGAUGCGACGCUGCGUGGAGGAUGACGGCCUUCGGGUUGUAAACUCCUGUCAUCAGGGAACAAUAACGGACGGGUUAAUACCCCGAUCGUCUGAUAGUACCUGAAGAGGAAGCCACGGCUAACUCUGUGCCAGCAGCCGCGGUAAUACAGAGGUGGCGAGCGUUGUUCGGAUUUACUGGGCGUAAAGGGUGCGUAGGUGGUACUGCGUGUCGGAUGUGAAAGCCCACGGCUCACCCGUGGAACGGCAUUCGAAACUGCAGAACUUGAGUACAGGAGAGGAGAGCGGAAUUCUUGGUGUAGCGGUGGAAUGCGUUGAUAUCAAGAAGAACACCGGUGGCGUAGGCGGCUCUCUGGAAUGUUACUGACACUGAGGCACGAAAGUUGGGGGAGCAAACAGGAUUAGAGACCCUGGUAGUCCCAACCGUAAACGGUGCGCACUUGGUGUGGGGGGAGUUGACCCCCCCCGUGCCGGAGCUAACGCGUUAAGUGCGCCGCCUGGGGAGUACGGCCGCAAGGCUAAAACUCAAAGAAAUUGACGGGGGCCCGCACAAGCGGAGGAGCAUGUGGCUUAAUUCGAUGCAACGCGAAGAACCUUACCAGGGCUUGACAUGCAAGUGGUACGAAUCUGAAAGGAUGAGGACCCCUCGGGGAGCUUGCACAGGUGCUGCAUGGCUGUCGUCAGUUCGUGCCGUGAGGUGUUGGGUUAAGUCCCGCAACGAACGCAACCCUUAUAAUUAGUUGCCACCGCAGGUGAUGAGCCUGCGAGCACUCUAGUUAGACUGCCCGUGACAAGCGGGAGGAAGGU
Molecule: ribosomal RNA, 1213 nt
Filed under: metagenome
Description: bacterial SSU rRNA
Rfam family: Bacterial small subunit ribosomal RNA
Source: RNAcentral